GGCCGUGUGGCUCAAUGGCAGAGCGUCUGACUACGAUGUGUGUCAUCUUAGAUGGCAUCUGAGCGCAAUCAGAAGGUCGCAGGUUCGACCCCUGUCUCGGUCA
Non-coding RNA from Claviceps africana, 103 nucleotides. The record is from the annotation of a GenBank genome assembly. NCBI's taxonomy places the organism in Eukaryota, Fungi, Ascomycota, Sordariomycetes, Hypocreales, Clavicipitaceae.